GCCGGUGUAGCUCAGUUGGUAGAGCGCCUCACUUGUAAUGAGGAUGUCGUGGGUUCAACUCCUGUCACCGGCUCCA
RNAcentral lists this transfer RNA (76 nucleotides) under Thiolapillus brandeum. RNAcentral's name for it is "tRNA-Thr". It matches the Rfam family "tRNA". Rfam says of the family: Transfer RNA (tRNA) molecules are approximately 80 nucleotides in length. The record is from RNAcentral. Lineage: Bacteria; Pseudomonadati; Pseudomonadota; Gammaproteobacteria; Chromatiales; Sedimenticolaceae. RNAcentral also lists the same sequence under 13 other names.